This 350-nucleotide ribosomal RNA is filed under the name Acinetobacter baumannii. RNAcentral's name for it is "bacterial SSU rRNA". It matches the Rfam family "Bacterial small subunit ribosomal RNA", at positions 989 to 1340 of the family's 1533-position model. The record is from RNAcentral. Lineage: Bacteria; Pseudomonadati; Pseudomonadota; Gammaproteobacteria; Moraxellales; Moraxellaceae.
CCGAUGACCGCCCUAGAGAUAGGGUUUCUCUUCGGAGCAUCGGUGACAGGUGGUGCAUGGUUGUCGUCAGCUCGUGUCGUGAGAUGUUGGGUUAAGUCCCGCAACGAGCGCAACCCCUAUUGUUAGUUGCCAUCAUUCAGUUGGGCACUCUAGCGAGACUGCCGGUAAUAAACCGGAGGAAGGUGGGGAUGACGUCAAAUCAUCAUGCCCCUUAUGACCUGGGCUACACACGUGCUACAAUGGCUGGUACAACGAGUCGCAAGUCGGUGACGGCAAGCUAAUCUCUUAAAGUCAGUCUCAGUUCGGAUUGUAGGCUGCAACUCGCCUACAUGAAGUCGGAAUCGCUAGUA